Molecule: long non-coding RNA, 647 nt
Organism: Felis catus (domestic cat)
Lineage: Eukaryota; Metazoa; Chordata; Mammalia; Carnivora; Felidae
Exons: 4
Source: RefSeq, a predicted model, not a curated record
ACGUAGAAGUCUCUAAGGCCUCCCUGGGAAAGAAAGAGAAGUCUUUGCCCUGAUAAGUAUACCAAUUCUCCUCUCUUAUUGACUCACUUUAAAAGGCUGCUGCAGAGAGGCUGGCCUUCGUGUCUGCAAAACUGGGGCAGAGAGGUAGGUAGGAGAGUCCCAAGGAACGUCAGAGACAGAGGACCAAAUACUUUGCCUCUCUUUCCACUACCGGCACCCCUUACCUUUCACUACCAGGGUCCCACAAUUUCUCUUCAUUCAUAAUCUUAAAUAGAAGACUGCUUAGAGAGAAGAUGCCCACUGACAAGAAAGAAGAUAAGACAUUGUUUUUAACUCUCAGCUGACCUUUGCUCUCAAGGAGGCAUGCAAUGACAAGAUCUGCAUUUCCUAGUAGCUUCUUCCCCUCCAGGCCUGGGGGCUGCUGAACCACACCAGAGAUCCCAGGACAUUCCAUAGCUGUGAGGCUGGGAGCCCGGAAUGUCUGGAACCCACAGAGGGAAGGUGCCCCAGCAUGCUCCCCCACCCCAACCACAUUUCCCCAAAGAUCUCAAAGCACUCUCCAAGGAUGAUCUCAUUUUCUAAUAGAGAGUGGCGGAGAAGGGCAGAGGGAGAGAGAGAGAAUCUUAAGUAGACUCCACACUCAGCAU